AACAGUGUCUACUUCUUCAUAUUUAAGAUG
Molecule: non-coding RNA, 30 nt
Filed under: Mus musculus (house mouse)
Lineage: Eukaryota; Metazoa; Chordata; Mammalia; Rodentia; Muridae
Source: RNAcentral